UAAGAAGGGGGCUAGCGUCGCUCGGAAUCACUGGGCGUAAAGCGCACGUAGGCGGAUCUUUAAGUCAGGGGUGAAAUCCUGGAGCUCAACUCCAGAACUGCCUUUGAUACUGAGGGUCUCGAGUCCGGGAGAGGUGAGUGGAACUGCGAGUGUAGAGGUGAAAUUCGUAGAUAUUCGCAAGAACACCAGUGGCGAAGGCGGCUCACUGGCCCGGUACUGACGCUGAGGUGCGAAAGCGUGGGGAGCAAACAGG
Molecule: ribosomal RNA, 253 nt
Filed under: uncultured bacterium
Lineage: Bacteria
Description: partial 16S ribosomal RNA
Rfam family: Bacterial small subunit ribosomal RNA
Source: RNAcentral